UAGGGAAUCUUCCGCAAUGGGCGAAAGCCUGACGGAGCAACGCCGCGUGAGUGAUGAAGGUCUUCGGAUCGUAAAACUCUGUUAUUAGGGAAGAACAAAUGUGUAAGUAACUAUGCACGUCUUGACGGUACCUAAUCAGAAAGCCACGGCUAACUACGUGCCAGCAGCCGCGGUAAUACGUAGGUGGCAAGCGUUAUCCGGAAUUAUUGGGCGUAAAGCGAGCGUAGGCGGUUUUUUAAGUCUGAUGUGAAAGCCCACGGCUCAACCGUGGAGGGUCAUUGGAAGCUGGAAAACUUGAGUGCAGAAGAGGAAAGUGGAAUUCCAUGUGUAGCGGUGAAAUGCGCAGAGAUAUGGAGGAACACCAGUGGCGAAGGCGACUUUCUGGUCUGUAACUGACGCUGAUGUGCGAAAGCGUGGGGAUCAAACAGG
This 429-nucleotide ribosomal RNA is filed under the name Actinomycetes bacterium. RNAcentral's name for it is "Actinobacteria bacterium partial 16S ribosomal RNA". It matches the Rfam family "Bacterial small subunit ribosomal RNA", at positions 355 to 776 of the family's 1533-position model. The record is from RNAcentral. Lineage: Bacteria; Bacillati; Actinomycetota; Actinomycetes.